UGAGUUUGAUCCUGGCUCAGGAUGAACGCUGGCGGCGUGCCUAACACAUGCAAGUCGAGCGAGGAAUUGGAAGCUUGCUUCCAAAACCUAGCGGCGGACGGGUGAGUAACGCGUGGGCAACCUACCCUAUGCAGGGGGAUAACAUUGGGAAACCAGUGCUAAUACCGCAUAAAGCCGAGAAGGGGCAUCCCUUCAUGGUCAAAGAACUUCGGCAUAGGAUGGGCCCGCGUCUGAUUAGUUAGUUGGUAAGGUAAAAGCUUACCAAGACGAUGAUCAGUAGCCGACCUGAGAGGGUGACCGGCCACACUGGAACUGAGACACGGUCCAGACUCCUACGGGAGGCAGCAGUGGGGAAUACUGCACAAUGGGCGAAAGCCUGAUGCAGCAACGCCGCGUGAGCGAUGAAGGCCUUCGGGUCGUAAAGCUCUGUCCUA
This 434-nucleotide ribosomal RNA is filed under the name uncultured bacterium. RNAcentral's name for it is "bacterial SSU rRNA". It matches the Rfam family "Bacterial small subunit ribosomal RNA", at positions 1 to 440 of the family's 1533-position model. The record is from RNAcentral.